RNAcentral lists this ribosomal RNA (476 nucleotides) under uncultured organism. Its description in RNAcentral is "partial 16S ribosomal RNA". It matches the Rfam family "Bacterial small subunit ribosomal RNA", at positions 332 to 800 of the family's 1533-position model. The record is from RNAcentral.
UACACUCCUACGGGAGGCAGCAGUAGGGAAUCUUCCACAAUGGGUGCAAACCUGAUGGAGCAAUGCCGCGUGAGUGAAGAAGGUCUUCGGAUCGUAAAGCUCUGUUGUUAGAGAAGAACACGUGCUAGGUAACUACUAGCGCCUUGACGGUAUCUAACCAGAAAGUCACGGCUAACUACGUGCCAGCAGCCGCGGUAAUACGUAGGUGACAAGCGUUGUCCGGAUUUAUUGGGCGUAAAGGGAGCGCAGGCGGUCUGUUUAGUCUAAUGUGAAAGCCCACGGCUUAACCGUGGAACGGCAUUGGAAACUGACAGACUUGAAUGUAGAAGAGGAAAAUGGAAUUCCAAGUGUAGCGGUGGAAUGCGUAGAUAUUUGGAGGAACACCAGUGGCGAAGGCGAUUUUCUGGUCUAACAUUGACGCUGAGGCUCGAAAGCGUGGGGAGCGAACAGGAUUAGAUACCCUGGUAGUCCCAUGA